RNAcentral lists this ribosomal RNA (440 nucleotides) under uncultured bacterium. Its description in RNAcentral is "partial 16S ribosomal RNA". It matches the Rfam family "Bacterial small subunit ribosomal RNA", at positions 338 to 795 of the family's 1533-position model. The record is from RNAcentral.
CCUACGGGUGGCAGCAGUGGGGGAUAUUGCACAAUGGGGGGAACCCUGAUGCAGCGACGCCGCGUGGGUGAAGAAGCGCCUCGGCGCGUAAAGCCCUGUCAGCAGGGAAGAAAAUGACGGUACCUGAAGAAGAAGCCCCGGCUAACUACGUGCCAGCAGCCGCGGUAAUACGUAGGGGGCAAGCGUUAUCCGGAUUUACUGGGGGUAAAGGGGGCGCAGACGGCGAUGCAAGCCAGGAGUGAAAGCCCGGGGCCCAACCCCGGGACUGCUCUUGGAACUGCGUGGCUGGAGUGCAGGAGAGGUAGGCGGAAUUCCUAGUGUAGCGGUGAAAUGCGUAGAUAUUAGGAGGAACACCAGUGGCGAAGGCAGCUUACUAAACUAUAACUGACACUGAAGCACGAAAGCGUGGGGAUCAAACAGGAUUAGAUACCCUAGUAGUC